RNAcentral lists this ribosomal RNA (1000 nucleotides) under uncultured organism. RNAcentral describes it as "bacterial SSU rRNA". It matches the Rfam family "Bacterial small subunit ribosomal RNA", at positions 356 to 1376 of the family's 1533-position model. The record is from RNAcentral.
GGGGGAUAUUGCGCAAUGGGGGCAACCCUGACGCAGCAACGCCGCGUGAAGGAUGAAGGUUUUCGGAUUGUAAACUUCUUUUAUUAAGGACGAAAAAUGACGGUACUUAAUGAAUAAGCUCCGGCUAACUACGUGCCAGCAGCCGCGGUAAUACGUAGGGAGCAAGCGUUGUCCGGAUUUACUGGGUGUAAAGGGUGCGUAGGCGGCUUUGCAAGUCAGAUGUGAAAUCUAUGGGCUCAACCCAUAAACUGCAUUUGAAACUGUAGAGCUUGAGUGAAGUAGAGGCAGGCGGAAUUCCCCGUGUAGCGGUGAAAUGCGUAGAGAUGGGGAGGAACACCAGUGGCGAAGGCGGCCUGCUGGGCUUUAACUGACGCUGAGGCACGAAAGCGUGGGUAGCAAACAGGAUUAGAUACCCUGGUAGUCCACGCUGUAAACGAUGAUUACUAGGUGUGGGGGGUUUGACCCCUUCCGUGCCGGAGUUAACACAAUAAGUAAUCCACCUGGGGAGUACGGCCGCAAGGUUGAAACUCAAAGGAAUUGACGGGGGCCCGCACAAGCAGUGGAGUAUGUGGUUUAAUUCGAAGCAACGCGAAGAACCUUACCAGGUCUUGACAUCCAACUAACGAAGUAGAGAUACAUUAGGUGCCCUUCGGGGAAAGUUGAGACAGGUGGUGCAUGGUUGUCGUCAGCUCGUGUCGUGAGAUGUUGGGUUAAGUCCCGCAACGAGCGCAACCCUUGCUAUUAGUUGCUACGCAAGAGCACUCUAAUAGGACUGCCGUUGACAAAACGGAGGAAGGUGGGGACGACGUCAAAUCAUCAUGCCCCUUAUGACCUGGGCUACACACGUACUACAAUGGAUGUUAACAGAGGGAAGCAAGACAGCGAUGUGGAGCAAACCCCUAAAAACAUUCUCAGUUCAGAUUGCAGGCUGCAACCCGCCUGCAUGAAGAUGGAAUUGCUAGUAAUCGCGGAUCAGCAUGCCGCGGUGAAUACGUUCCCG